GAUAAAGAGAGUGGCAGAGAGAACGUAGUUAACUGCCAAGAGACAGAAUAUGAAGUAGAGACUAUAAAGUUGAAAAGGCCCAACCUUUCUCCAAUCUAAUUCGAGGUGAUUUGCCCAAUUCUCUGAAUUCACGAUGAAAUCUGCACUUAUAAGCACUAAUUCCUUGCGCACCCAUUUACUCCGUUUGGUGCGCAUAUAUCCUCUAAGCCAAAGAAUCCCAGUGUAUUCUGCAUAAAACCCAUUACUUUGCCCGCCAUACUCUCCUUGAGAUCCCAGUCCAAGCCAUCCAGAUUGGUUGAGCUUUGCGCUUCCCAUAACGCAAGCCCUUCGAAUGCCGAACUGAAGGAUCGUGGGGUGGAGGAGGUUUCGAGUGAAGACUUUGUUGAAGAUGAGAAUUCACAAAGCCGAUGGAAUGUGGAAGUGGGGAGCCCUAGUGUUCCGCCCAAUGUUGUGCCGGCGGCCAAGUUGAGCUUGAGUGACCAAGCGUUCUUUCUCCUGCCUUCAUUGCUUGCACGACUUCUGUGGCAUUCACUAGCCUUAUUACUGCAGCUGUCCCAACACUAUAUGUAAGUAGUCUGACUUUAUGUUUAAGUGCAGAAUUUUUUUUUUAUUAUUAUUAUUAUUAUUAUUUUUUGGUGUCCUACUCCCAGCACCACACGUCAGGCUUAAUUCAUCUCACUUAAGUCUAUUACUACAUUAUGACUACCUGUUCUUUUGCAAUAUGCCUAAAAUA
Molecule: non-coding RNA, 733 nt
Organism: Corylus avellana
Lineage: Eukaryota; Viridiplantae; Streptophyta; Magnoliopsida; Fagales; Betulaceae
Source: RefSeq, a predicted model, not a curated record